GAUGAACGCUGGCGGUGUGCCUAACACAUGCAAGUCGAGCGGCCGCACGAUAAGCUCUUGCUCUUGCUGUUAGCGGGGGACGGGCGAGUAACACGUGCAUAACCUACUUAUUUGUCUGGGAUAAUUACGGGAAACCGCUUACACUACUGGCUAAUAUUUCCAACCGCAUGGAUCAAAAGAUCUUGACGGCUUUCCCGUCUCUUAUAGACGGUUCCGGGUUGCAUUAGCUAGUUGGUAAGGUAACGGCCUACCAAGGCGACGAUGCGUAGCUGAGCUGAGAGGAUGAUCAGCCACACUGGAACUGAGACACGGUCCAGACUCCUACGGGAGGCAGCAGUGGGGAAUAUUGGACAAUGGGCGAAAGCCUGACCGAGCAAUACCGCGUGGGUGAAGAAGGUCUUCGGGUUGUAAAGCUCUGUUGUUGGGAAAGAACAGAAGUAGGUGAAAACCUGGCCGUCUUGACGGUACCCAAAGAAUAAGCACCGGCUAACUUCGUG
This 497-nucleotide ribosomal RNA is filed under the name uncultured bacterium. Its description in RNAcentral is "partial 16S ribosomal RNA". It matches the Rfam family "Bacterial small subunit ribosomal RNA", at positions 28 to 507 of the family's 1533-position model. The record is from RNAcentral.